UGGGUAGCAAUGGGCCAGUGGGUCCUCAGG
This 30-nucleotide non-coding RNA is filed under the name Rattus norvegicus (Norway rat). Lineage: Eukaryota; Metazoa; Chordata; Mammalia; Rodentia; Muridae. The record is from RNAcentral.